AUGGAGUAAAUAAAAUCAUAACAUAGACAAUUAAAUAUAAGAAAUAAUAAUUUCUUAAAGUAUGUGCUAAUCCCCAUGUACCCAAACUUUGUGGACACCCUCUAGAAUAGAGAUCAAUAAAAUAAAGU
Octopus sinensis (East Asian common octopus) is the source of this 128-nucleotide long non-coding RNA. RefSeq lists it as uncharacterized. The transcript is spliced from 4 exons. The record is from RefSeq and is a predicted model, not a curated record. Lineage: Eukaryota; Metazoa; Mollusca; Cephalopoda; Octopoda; Octopodidae.